RNAcentral lists this ribosomal RNA (460 nucleotides) under uncultured bacterium. RNAcentral's name for it is "partial 16S ribosomal RNA". It matches the Rfam family "Bacterial small subunit ribosomal RNA", at positions 338 to 795 of the family's 1533-position model. The record is from RNAcentral.
CCUACGGGAGGCAGCAGUGAGGAAUAUUGGUCAAUGGACGAGAGUCUGAACCAGCCUAGUAGCGUGAAGGAUGACUGCCCUCUGGGUUGUAAACUUCUUUUAUAAAGGAAUAAAACGAGGCACGUGUGCCUUUUUGCAUGUACUUUAUGAAUAAAGAUCGGCUAACUCCGUGCCAGCAGCCGCGGUAAUACGGAGGAUCCGAGCGUUAUCCGGAUUUAUUGGGUUUAAAGGGAGCGUAGAUGGGUUGUUAAGUCAGUUGUGAAAGUUUGCGGCUCAACCGUAAAAUUGCAAUUGAUACUGGAAGUCUUGAGUACAGUUGAGGUAGGCGGAAUUCGUGGUGUAGCGGUGAAAUGCUUAGAUAUCACGAAGAACCCCGAUUGCGAAGGCAGCUUACUAAACUGUGACUGACAUUGAUGCUCGAAAGUGUGGGUAUCAAACAGGAUUAGAUACCCGUGUAGUC